GGAAGGCCCAGAAGGCCUUCAAGAAGUCAGGAAAGAGAGCCGGGAAGAGUUCGGGCAAGCGGCCGGCAGCCCGCCCACCUCCUCCAGCCCGUCGCCUCCUGGCAGCCCGUCGGGGGAGAAACGCCCGAGGGAAUCCGCUUCCGAGCCGACUACACUGUCCAAGAGGCGCAAAGUCAGCACUCCGAGGAAGAAGGGCUUCCCUCGGGCUCACCUCUCCCCCCUGAAGAGAAUGAUGCUUAUGAAAGUGGCAAAGAGGGCCCGGAAACUGUUUUUUUCAAUUUUUUUUGUUUUAAAUGUUCUUUUCUCGUUCUGUUCUGUUGUUAUAAUAAAUGUUUUAAACGUU
Megalobrama amblycephala (Wuchang bream) is the source of this 343-nucleotide long non-coding RNA. RefSeq lists it as uncharacterized. Lineage: Eukaryota; Metazoa; Chordata; Actinopteri; Cypriniformes; Xenocyprididae. The transcript is spliced from 2 exons. The record is from RefSeq and is a predicted model, not a curated record.